CACAUGAAGCAGGGAUGACAGCCUUGAACUGAAGAAUGUGAUCUAUUCAACCCUAUGCCUCAUGUG
Molecule: small nucleolar RNA, 66 nt
Organism: Panthera leo (lion)
Lineage: Eukaryota; Metazoa; Chordata; Mammalia; Carnivora; Felidae
Source: Ensembl